Molecule: ribosomal RNA, 253 nt
Filed under: uncultured bacterium
Lineage: Bacteria
Description: partial 16S ribosomal RNA
Rfam family: Bacterial small subunit ribosomal RNA
Source: RNAcentral
UACGGAGGGGGCGAGCGUUAUUCGGAAUUAUUGGGCGUAAAGGGCGCGUAGGCGGCUUGUUAAGUCAAAGGUGAAAUCCCUCGGCUCAACUGAGGAACUGCCUUUGAAACUAGCGAGCUUGAGGCCGGGAGGGGGUAGCGGAAUUCCCAGUGUAGCGGUGAAAUGCGUAGAUACUGGGAGGAACACCAGUGGCGAAGGCGGCUACCUGGACCGGUACUGACGCUGAGGCGCGAAAGCGUGGGGAGCGAACAGG